This 132-nucleotide small nucleolar RNA is filed under the name Dasypus novemcinctus (nine-banded armadillo). RNAcentral's name for it is "Small nucleolar RNA SNORA42/SNORA80 family (ENSDNOG00000031534.1)". It matches the Rfam family "Small nucleolar RNA SNORA42/SNORA80 family". From Rfam's summary of the family: The members of this family belong to the H/ACA class of snoRNAs that guide the sites of modification of uridines to pseudouridines. Human ACA42 (SNORA42) was cloned from HeLa cells by immunoprecipitation with anti-GAR1 antibody. Lineage: Eukaryota; Metazoa; Chordata; Mammalia; Cingulata; Dasypodidae. The record is from RNAcentral.
GCUUGAGUUUGGAUUUAUGACAGCCCCAUCCCCCUGGAUCUCUCAUAGUGUCCCAUGCCAGAGCAAACUGUAGUCCCAAACCAUUGCCUGGCCUUGCCCAUAGGCCUCAGCACUGUAGCAGGUUGCACAGUA